UGCUUUAUUUUUUAACCGUACCUAACACAAAAUUAAUGUAAUUCAGCUGUGAGGAUGGAGAGAAAGAAGAGAAGAUGACAAAAGAAGAAUCAGGACAAACAGGGGAAAGCAAGAGUGGAGAACGGCACAGACAAGGGGUGAAGGAGACAGACAUGAGAUCAGUGAUAGAAGGGACAAGUAAUGACAUCAGGAAAAUUAGUGCAGGCAGACAUG
Long non-coding RNA from Fundulus heteroclitus (mummichog), 213 nucleotides. RefSeq lists it as uncharacterized. The record is from RefSeq and is a predicted model, not a curated record. NCBI's taxonomy places the organism in Eukaryota, Metazoa, Chordata, Actinopteri, Cyprinodontiformes, Fundulidae. The transcript has 3 exons.